Molecule: ribosomal RNA, 406 nt
Filed under: uncultured bacterium
Lineage: Bacteria
Description: partial 16S ribosomal RNA
Rfam family: Bacterial small subunit ribosomal RNA
Source: RNAcentral
AUUGAACGCUGGCGGCAGGCCUAACACAUGCAAGUCGAGCGAGCGGCGGACGGGUGAGUAAUGUCUGGGAAACUGCCUGAUGGAGGGGGAUAACUACUGGAAACGGUAGCUAAUACCGCAUACCAUCAGAUGUGCCCAGAUGGGAUUAGCUAGUAGGUGGGGUAACUGCUCACUUAGGCGACGAUCCCUAGCUGGUCUGAGAGGAUGACCAGCCAACGUGGAACUGAGACACUGUCCAGACUCCUACGGUAGGCAGCAGUGGGGAAUAUUGCACAAUGGGCGCAAGCCUGAUGCAGUCAUGCCGCGUGUGUGAAGAAGGCCUUCGGGUUGUAAAGUACUUUCAGCGGGGAGGCGUUACCCGCAGAAGAAGCACCGGCUAACUCCGUGCCAGCAGCCGCGGUAAUUC